This 8162-nucleotide long non-coding RNA is filed under the name Triticum aestivum (bread wheat). Its description in RNAcentral is "long non-coding RNA (TAES_LNC020499)". The record is from RNAcentral. Lineage: Eukaryota; Viridiplantae; Streptophyta; Magnoliopsida; Poales; Poaceae.
UUUUCCAUUUACUUUUUGUUUAUUUAUUUAGCUAUUGUUUUGUAUUUUCUUUUAGCAUCAAAAUAUUUUUGUAAAAUGUUAAACCUUGCCAUAUAAUUACUAUGCAUUAUUGUGCACUGCCACAACAAGUUUGGGGUUCAAAAUAAUUUAUUAAGUUUGAGUUUAUUUUUAAAUGGGAUAAAAAGGUGUUGUUGGUCCACUGUUUUAAUAUCCAGGGGCAAUUUUAUAUUUUGAAUUUUUUUAAUUAUUUCAUGACAAAUUGUUAGUGAAUAUUUGCAACCCACCAAACAUUUUUGUUUUACCGUUUGAAGAAAUAAUAGUUUGACUUUAUUUUAAAUUUAAUUUGAAUCAGGUUUGGAUCAAAGUGAGGUUUAGCAAAUUACCGCAAUGACAUGGCAUCAUUAAGAGGGGAUUACUGUAGCUUGAUUAUCCGGGCGUCACAAUUCUCCUCCACUACAAGAAAUCUCGUCCCAAGAUUUAGGACCGGAGUAAGGGGGAAAGGGUCUGUUUAGGUAAUUCUAACGAAUCUCCUCGGUCUUGGUUGCUUUUCUCGAAGAGCUCAAUCCAUUAUAAUGAUGUCUUCAUUCCACUGCUUCAGGUCAUCAUUAUGAAGUCUUCAUCCUUUCUUCGGGGGUUCCAUCGUUCUUACGAAUAGGUAAUGGGGCAGAUUGGCAACGACAGAAUGCUAUAAGGGUAAUAAUCUGGGAUUAACCCAUGAAUGAUCAUACGAGUGCCUCUUGAGUUGAACAAUUAAAACACAUCAAGAGUAAAGUUCGAAGGUGCAAUAAGAAUUUUCAAGCAGAUAGAUAGUUGCUCGAAGUCUGAACCUGAGUGAGAAAGGGGUUCAGAGUAGCAAGAGUAAGUAUUACGUCUGCUACCAGAAUAGAGCACUAGGAAGGUGGCCCAUGAAUUAAAUACGAAGCCAAGCGUGGGGAAUAACCAUUAGAAACAGGAUUGUAUAGGAGAAUCAGGUUUCGAUCCUGUGGAACUAUGGGUUAUGGGCCCACCGUACGGGAUAAAGGUAGAAGGAGUGGUGACAUCUUGCAUGGUCAUGAUAACAAGGCAUGUCAGAGGGUAGCCUAUCAUUUAUGUCGAAAACAACGUCGGUACCAAGGGCGAGGGACGAAGAGAACCAUUCUCCUGCUCGUUGAACGAGGCGGACCAACAGGCAAAGUUCUCGUCCAUCGGUGGUUACCGGAAUGUCACAGCAAUAGUAACAGGGUCUUACCGUCACGAUUGUACACCUAGGUGUUUACUUAAGCAGAAGAAUAUUACUGCUUAGAUCAUAUAGAUCACCAGAAAGGUUAAACAAAACAAUGGAAAGGAAAAGGUGAUCAUCAGAUUAAAUAGAACAAUGGAAAGGAAAAUGUGCUUAAACACAUUCUUCAGGGGUAUAUCCUUCCCAAGGACAAACAGAGCAUGAUAUCCACGAUAGGAUAUAAUGUAGAAAACCCUUUAGGAAAGGGGAGAGAAAUUUCAUGACUUUACCCAUACCGUGGUGUUUGGAUAGUUGAGCAGGAAACAUUUAGCAUUGGGCUUCAAAUGUUCUCUUUGAAAAUCGAAGUAACAUAGACAUGCUUCAAGAUAGCAUUGACAUGGUCAUCAAGUGAAGAUCAGACUUCGGAUACACGAAGGAUCCAUCAGGAUAACUUAUUAAACAAGGCAUUCAAUUUCCUCAUGGAAAAAUGGUUAACCUUGUUAAAAAGGAAACUAUAACACUAGGUCCUCCGGUCAGGUGUGCUAGGCAUGACAUAACCUUAUCGGGUCAUUUAAAGACCAAAGUUAUGACUCUUGGACAGAGUUCCAGCCAUCAUAUCUGCUCGAGAUUCAGAUAUGAUUGGUCUCAGGAUAUGUCAGACUCGUGAUGCCUGAGAAGAAAAAGGUGCACACAAAUUGACGAGAUGACAUUAUAUGAUUCUCGGGAAAUGAACUAUGGAAGCGAGUUCCGAACAAGGGUUCAUCAUUAAGCCAAGGAGAGGAUGAGGAGGUGGCUGAUGGACUCAGCGAUAAUUCAACGUGGUAUCCAAAAAGGAUGGAUCUCCACAAUUAUGUGAACAAGGAGAUAACAUUUGUCAAAUCAAAUGAUAUAAUGAGGUAUGCUCGAGGAAAACAUACAUAGUUAAUCAUUUAUUGAAAGGUGCACCCGAAAUAUGGGCAUAGGUAGCAUGAUCUCAAGGUAUAACACAAAACACGAACAAGUUUGUGUUGAACAGAAGACAAUAAAGUGGUUGAUGAUAACACGAAUCAUCGAGGGGCAAGGAUGGUAUUGCCCAUCAAGAAUUCGAUAUAUAUAUAUAUAUAUUUGAAGAGCUUAGGAUGUUGAUGAUAAUCACGACACAGUUGUCGAGAGAUUUCAUGAAGAUGUAAUCGGUCGGCGAUGCCAUCAAGUCAAAUGAUGAUGAAGUGAAAAGUUAUGGGAGCCAAGGGUACGACACAAACUCGAAAUCAAGCUUGCUGUUCAAGAUGAAAUGAUAUGAUGAGAAAGAUCGACGUAAGUUUAGCUCAUCGUCGAAAGUUGUGCUCCGGGAUUAAGGACCAGGUGGCAUAGUUAGAAUCGGCACGAGAAUGAUAUAGCCGAGCAGGCUAGGAAUGACGUAAUCGAGUUCAAACUCAUAAGUAAUGAAGGUUACCAAGAGUUGUUUAAUCGCGGUGCAGACUCGAUUCAGUUAUCGAUGUCUUUGAGUGUUUAAUAACUCAGAGCCCGUGAAAAGUUAGAAUCAGUGAGAAUGUAGUACUUGAAGAAGAACUCAUAAGAAGUUAUGCAGUUCCGUGAUAAUCUUGAGAUACCAGGGUGUAAUACUCGAUGAAAGAUCAAAGUAAAGGUUGGACUGGUGUAUUGAUCCACAGAAGACAAGUGCUUAAACUUGCCCAAGAAAAGGAUCAAAGAUGAUCAAUCAUGGUCGGAACCACGGUUGCAAAGGACCAACAUAGAUACAAGAUGAACUUAUAACAAGGGGACCAUUAUUAAUACAAGAAGCUUCCAUGAUAAGUUCCACAUCGGGUCCAUAGGCAUGAACACAAAGUUCAAGGUCGACUCCCACUUCUCCAAAGCACGACCUUACAUUCACUUAUCGUUUCAAUUAUGGCAUUAGUGUUGAAAGUUUUACCUGGUGAAAUACCAGGUGAGUAUGGCCCGUGAAAUCUUUCGAGCUCACAUAGAUUAGGUAAGGCAUUGGUUCAACCCAUCGGGGCAUCUUAGAAACAUAUACCACAAGCUUCAAGAGUAAAUAUCACCAGCUCGAAAGUAGAGCAAGGUUGAGAAAGUAGAGGAUACAAUUUACCAAAGGCAUUAUGUAUCCAAGAGAAGGCUCACAAGGUUAUUGAAUAUGAAGUACGCUGUCGGGUAAAAUCCAUUAAAGGAUUUGUCGGUCCAUAGCGGAGCUGAUGUGAGCAUCGGCACACAACCAGAGGAAGUAACAAUGCAAAGGCAUUGGAUUAUUGAAACAACCGACUAAUUCAAAGCUCAAAUGCAAAUGAAUUAUGAUUUCCAAAUCAAAGGAUCAGAAGCAAACGCUCUGAUUAAGAAUGGAUAAGUUGAGUAAGCUUAGGGGUAAAAUCGACAACAAUUUGAUUGGUCGAGAUCCAGCUCAUGCUUAAUAUGUCGUCUGAGCCGAAAGGAUGAAUUCUAGGAUCUGAUUGAGGAUUGCGAGCAUUCGCAACAUAUUGAAUCAAUGGACUCAAAAUGAUAGUGACAAGGGCUGCCAAUAAGAUUACUAUACCUAUGGGAUUAACCAUAAUGAAAGCAAGCAAGAAUUUCAAGAAUAAUAGGCAGUCGAUGAUUUUCGGAAGAUCGAAUGGUACUUCGACGACUUUUGUGAAAUAUUUGAAUCAAAUGGGGAUGAGCGAAUACCCGAUAAGUGUGAGAAAUUAUCCGUAGGGGUAUUCAGGGGGCAAAGAACUGCAAGGCAGUAGGCACAAAGUUUUCUCGGUGUAAUGAAGAGAAUAUUGGGGUAUCUUGUAAUAACAAGAUCAACUGGAAUAAAAGUAAGAACGACGGGUGUAAGUAUUUAUCCAUAGGGAUAUUUUAGUGGUAGGGAAUUGCAAAAGCAACGGGCAUAAGGUCUCGAGAGAAUAUCAGAAGGUAUCUUCGAAAUCCUUCGAUGCAGCAGGCAGUCAGCGGUAACACGGGGCUCUCCGGGUGGAAGUGAUCACGAGAUCCUAAUGUUAGAGUUAGCAAAAUUCAUUUAACCCGAAUAGAAGAGAGAUCAGAGUCCCAGAGUAUAGAUGAGGAGUAAAAGAUCCUAAUACCACCCAAUGGCGACGUGGGCCCGUAAGCCGCACAACCAUGUUAGUAAAAGUUUUUCAAUGACUAGACUCGACUUCGGCCAAGAAGUUGGAAAGGGGGAUUCCUACAGAUAGUCGGCUCUGAUACCAACUUGUGACGCCCCGUUUCAACCGUACACUAAUCAUACACACAAACGUGUAUGAUCAAGAUCAGGGACUCACGGGAAGAUAUCAUAACAUAACUCUAUAAAUAAAAUAAGUCAUACAAGCAUCAUAUUACAAGCUAGGGGCCUCGAGGGCUCGAAUACAAGAGCUCGAUCAUAGAUGAGUCAGCGGAAGCAACAAUAUCUGAGUACAGACAUAAGUUAAACAAGUUUGCCUUAAGAAGGCUAGCACAAACUGGGAUACAGAUCGAAAGAGGCACAUGCCUCCUGCUUGGGAUCCUCCUAAACUACUCCUGGUCGUCGCCAACGGGCUGCACGUAGUAGUAGGCACCUCCCGAGUAGUAGUAGUCGUCAUCAACAGUGGCGUCUGGUUCCUGGACUCCAUCGUCUGGUCGCGGCAAUCGGGUAUAGAAAGGGGGGAAAAGAGGGAGCAAAGCAACCGUGAGUACUCAUCCAAAGUACUCACAAGCAAGGAGCUACACUACAUAUGUAUGCAUUGGUAUCAAAUGGAAUAAGGGUAUCAUAUGUGGACUGAACUACAGAAUGCCGGAAUAAGAGGGGGAUAGCUAGUCCUAUCGAAGACUACGCUUCUGGCCACCUCCAUCUUGCAGCAUGUAGAAGCGAGCAGAAGGUAAGUUCACCAAGUAGCAUCGUGUAGCAUAAUCCUAAACGAUGAUCCUCCCCUCGUCGCCCUGUGAGAGAGCGAUCACCGGUUGUAUCUGGCACUUGGAUGGGUGUGUUUUAUUAAGUAUCGGGUUCUAGUUGUCAUAAGGUCAAGGUACAACUCCAAGUCGUCCUGUUACCGAAGAUCACGGCUAUUCGAAUAGAUUAACUUCCCUGCAGGGGUGCACCACAUUUCCCAACACGCUCGAUCCCCUUUGUCCGGACACACUUUCCUGGGUCAUGCCCAGCAUCGGAAGAUCAACACGUCGCAGCCCUACCUAGGCACAACAGAGAGGUUAGCACGCCGGUCUAAAUCCUAUGGCGCAGGGGUCUGGGCCCAUCGCGCAUUGCACACCUGCACGUUGCGAGGGCGGCCGGAAGCAGACCUAGCCUAUCAGGCGUUCCAAUCCAAUCCGGCACGCACCGCUCAGUUGCUGAUGCCACGAAGGCUUUGGCUGAUACCACGACGUCGAGUGCCCAUAAUUGUCCCCCUGUAGAUGGUUAGUGCGUAUAGGCCAGUGGCCAGACUCAGAUCAAAUACCCAGAUCUCGUUAAGCGUGUUAUUUUGAAGUAACCACGGAUGACGACCAGGGCCAGGCCCACCUCUCUCCUAGGUGGUCUCAACCUGCCCUGUCACUCCGCCACAAGUAACCAUCAGGGGGCUGUCGGGAACCUAGGCCCAUCACUACCUGGAUGGAACCACCUGCCCCUUCAGCCCCCAUCUCCGAACAGAAAACAUAAGUAUGUAACAGUAUACAGUAUAAGUGCCCGUGAUCACCUCCUGAAGUGAUCACGAACCAGUAGUAUAGCAUGGCAGACGGAAAAGAAUGUAGGGCCUUUGAUGAAAUACUACCAUCCUAUACUAAGCAUUUAGGAUUGCAGGUAAAGGUAACAACAGUAGUAGCAAAGACAGGCUAUGCAUCAGGAUAGGAUUAACGGAAAGCAAUAACAUGCUACACUACUCUAAUGCAAGCAGUAGAGAGAAGAGUAGGCGAUAUCUGGUGAUCAAGGGGGGGGGGGCUUGCCUGGUUCCUCUGGCAAGAGAGAGGGGUCGUCAACACCGUAGUCGUACUAGGUAGCAGCGGCGUCAAUCUCAGUGUCUAGCGAGAGAAGAGGUGGAAGAAAGAAUAAAUAUUAAGUAAACAGAUACAUAGCGAUGCAUGACAUGACAAGUAUCGGUGCUAGGGGUGCCCUAACGCGGUAUGAAGUGGUACCGGUGAAGGGGGAAAACAUCCAGGAAAGUAUUCCCGGUGUUUUCGCGUUUUCGGACAGAUGAACCGGAAGGGGAAAGUUCCGUGUUUGCCAUGCUAGGGAUGUGUGGCAGACUAACGGGCCGCGUAACCGGAUUCGUCUCGUCGUUCUGAGCAACAUUCAUGUACAAAGUUUUUCCAUCUGAGCUACGGUUUAUUUUAUAUUAAUUUUUUAAGUUUUAAAUCAUUUUCUAGAAAUAACAGAAUUAAUUUAGUACUAAAAUACAUUUCUGAUGUCAGCAUGAUGUCAGCACGACGUCAUCAGUCAACCAGUCAGUUGACUGGGUCAAACUGACGCAUGGGUCCUACUGUCAUUGACUAAGACUAAUUAAAUAGGCUAAUUAGUUUAAUUAGUUGUCUAGUUUAAUUAAUCAAAAUUAAUUAAGUUAAUUAAUUCUUCAAUUAAUUAAUUAUUUUUAUUUUUAUUAUAUUUUUUAUUCUUUUUUUAUGGAAGUGUUUUAGGGUGUGGGCCCCUCGUGUCAUAGAGUCAGGGCCUUAACGGGCGCGGGCGCUGGGCUGACCGGGGCUUUGCCCCGGUCGUGCAGGCACGUGCGCCUGGCGCCUUAGCGCGCGGUCGGGGGGAAGGGGACGUGUGUGGUCCAGCACCGGCGACCGUGGCCGGUGCAGGGCGGCGCGGCGAGGCCGACCGGAGCUGAAGGGGGCGCGAUGGCAGGUGCGCGGGGCGCCAGAGGCCCGAUCAGAGGCGGCGAUGCGUGCGGGGGCNNNNNNNNNNNNNNNNNNNNNNNNNNNNNNNNNNNNNNNNNNNNNNNNNNNNNNNNNNNNNNNNNNNNNNNNNNNNNNNNNNNNNNNNNNNNNNNNNNNNNNNNNNNNNNNNNNNNNNNNNNNNNNNNNNNNNNNNNNNNNNNNNNNNNNNNNNNNNNNNNNNNNNNNNNNNNNNNNNNNNNNNNNNNNNNNNNNNNNNNNNNNNNNNNNNNNNNNNNNNNNNNNNNNNNNNNNNNNNNNNNNNNNNNNNNNNNNNNNNNNNNNNNNNNNNNNNNNNNNNNNNNNNNNNNNNNNNNNNNNNNNNNNNNNNNNNNNNNNNNNNNNNNNNNNNNNNNNNNNNNNNNNNNNNNNNNNNNNNNNNNNNNNNNNNNNNNNNNNGGGGGAACGGGUCGGGCGCGCGGUGACAAGGGAAGAGGGGAGGGGAGGAGGGCGCGUGCUCACAGGGGUGCUGCAGGGGUUCGGGCAGCGGGGGGACGAGGAGGUGGACGGGGACGACCGGCGAGGAAGGCGGAAACGGGGAGGCAGCUCCGGUGAGGUGGCUUUGGCGACGUAGUCAAGCGCCGGGGGCGAGAUCCAUGGCGGCAACGACGACGUCGGCACUGGCGCGGGCUGUGUUGAGCCCCGAUCCAGAUCCGGGGGGUGAUGGCGGUAGGCGGUGGUGACCGGGCGGCGCCGUUGCGGUGGUGCCGGCGUUGGGGCGCCGUGGAGCGUGGUCGACGCGGUCGUGCCCCGAUCCAGAAGGGGAUCGGGGAGUGGGGGGAGUGUGUGGGGAGUGGGAUGGGCGAGUGGGGAUAGGGUUUCGGGGAUGGGGAGAUAAGGGAAGUGGGGGUGCCAGUUGGGCCUUUUGGCCGGUUGGGCCUUUUUUGCUAAAUGGGCCAAAGGGCCCAGUAGAUUAGGUUUCUUUUCUGUUUACUAGUAUUUUUCCAUUUACUUUUUGUUUAUUUAUUUAGCUAUUGUUUUGUAUUUUCUUUUAGCAUCAAAAUAUUUUUGUAAAAAGUUAAACCUUGUCAUAUAAUUACUAUGCAUUAUUGUGCACUGCCACAACAAGUUUGGGGUUCAAAAUAAUUUAUUAAGUUUGAGUUUAUUUUUAAAUGGGAUAAAAAGGUGUUGUUGGUCCACUGUUUUAAUAUCCAGGGGC